UUUGGUGGCGAUAGCGAAGAGGUCACACCCGUUCCCAUACCGAACACGGAAGUUAAGCUCUCUAGCGCCGAUGGUAGUCGGGGGUUUCCCCCUGUGAGAGUAGGACGCCGCCAAGC
This 116-nucleotide ribosomal RNA is filed under the name Bacillus spizizenii. RNAcentral also lists the same sequence under 1 other name. The record is from RNAcentral. Lineage: Bacteria; Bacillati; Bacillota; Bacilli; Caryophanales; Bacillaceae.